Mauremys mutica (yellowpond turtle) is the source of this 1078-nucleotide long non-coding RNA. RefSeq lists it as uncharacterized. The record is from RefSeq and is a predicted model, not a curated record. NCBI's taxonomy places the organism in Eukaryota, Metazoa, Chordata, Testudines, Geoemydidae. The transcript is spliced from 6 exons.
UUUAAAUAGGUGACGGGGCUGUGGUGGAGAGCCUAGCCUGUCAAAACAGGCAAUUUACUGCUUUAGAAAAAUACUCCAAUUCACAUAUAAAUCUCACUUAACAUGGUUUAAAGGUGACUUGCAAAUGAAGAAAAAAAAAUGUGUCCCUGUCCUUUUUUGCAUCCUCAUGGGGUAGAAAGAAAACCUGAAAGGCUUGAGAGUUGAGGGGAUUUUGUUUUCUUUUGUUUUUAAAAGUUUUUUUCCUGCUUGUUUUUACCUCAGAAAUAUCGAGAACGUGAACUCUUUGCUUCUCUGGUUUUGCUGGAUGAUUUCUUUGUCUCUAGAGGAGAAGAGAACUGGAGAUUUCACAACAAAAGAUUAGAAUACUACAAUUGAGAGGUUGCUCCAGCAACUCAACCCAUAGUUCUUCAGACUGGAAAUGAAAUGCAUUGGCAAAGGCGAUAGGUAUAGACAGACAUACCCCAGAGUCGUGGCACCCAUUAACAGAUCAAGCAAGCGUGUGCAGCUGUGUUUUGAUCAGUGAAAAGGUUUCCUGGCAUCCAAGAACUGACAUCACCUUUUGGGGUAUGACAAAUGCAUCCGAGCAUCUAGCAAGUGAAAAUCAAGGGUCUCGAUUUCCAGAGCUGAGAGGCUAAUCUAAUAACCCCGUAUGCUGAAUGCCCAGCCAGGCACUGAGCAGAUGCACAGGGAUGGAAUCCAUCUUGUGGUGACGGGAGUGUGCUCUGUGGGCCCUUCCCAAACCAUGCCUGCCAGCCCAACAGGAUCUGCGUCCCAUUCGGUGCAGGGAUUGUGUACUCCCUCUGAGCCUUCCAUCCUGCCUCCCUGUUUGCAGUGGAAUGAAACCAGUUUGGCACCCAACACAUAGUUCAGCUUCAGGGAGGCAAAGGAAGCAGUAGAUCAAUAGGAUGUCUUGACUGAAGUUGCCUGCAGCAGUUCCAUUUCUCAGACUGGACACUGAUGCUAACUAUCAAUAGCAAUAAGAGGCUGUCUCAGACAGAAUUAAGGCUCUUUCUUCUGCAUGGCUGUCUGGUGGUUACUGAUAAACAUCUUGUGCACAGGAUUGCAACAAAUAAACCAU